This 495-nucleotide ribosomal RNA is filed under the name uncultured bacterium. RNAcentral's name for it is "bacterial SSU rRNA". It matches the Rfam family "Bacterial small subunit ribosomal RNA", at positions 899 to 1397 of the family's 1533-position model. The record is from RNAcentral.
ACUCAAAUGAAUUGACGGGGGCCCGCACAAGCAGCGGAGCAUGUGGUUUAAUUCGAAGCAACGCGAAGAACCUUACCAGGACUUGACAUCGUCUGAAUCAUCCGUAAUGGGAAAAGUCCUUCGGGACAGACAGACAGGUGGUGCAUGGUUGUCGUCAGCUCGUGUCGUGAGAUGUUGGGUUAAGUCCCGCAACGAGCGCAACCCUUAUUGCUAGUUGCCAUCAUUAAGUUGGGCACUCUAGUGAGACUGCCGGAGACAAUUCGGAGGAAGGUGGGGAUGACGUCAAAUCAUCAUGCCCCUUAUGUUCUGGGCUACACACGUGCUACAAUGGGUGUAACAACGGGAAGCGAGCUGGUGACAGCAAGCCAACCUCUAAAAAGCACCCUCAGUUCGGAUUGCAGGCUGAAACCCGCCUGCAUGAAGUUGGAGUUGCUAGUAAUCGCGAAUCAGCAUGUCGCGGUGAAUACGUUCCCGGGCCUUGUACACACCGCCCGU